CCCUAUCCGUCGCAGGCGUAGGAAAUUUGAGGAGACCUGUCCUUAGUACGAGAGGACCGGGAUGGACGUACCUCUGGUGUACCAGUUGUUCUGCCAAGGGCAUGGCUGGGUAGCUAUGUACGGAAUGGAUAAGCGCUGAAAGCAUCUAAGCGCGAAGCCAACUUCAAGAUAAGAUUUCCCACCUAAGGGUUAAGAUCCCAGGAAGACUACCUGGUUGAUAGGUCAAAGGUGUAAGUGCAGCAAUGUAUUUAGCUUAUUGAUACUAAUAGAUCGAGGACUUGACCAAU
This 287-nucleotide ribosomal RNA is filed under the name Asaccharospora irregularis DSM 2635. RNAcentral's name for it is "23S rRNA. Bacterial LSU". It matches the Rfam family "Bacterial large subunit ribosomal RNA", at positions 2636 to 2925 of the family's 2925-position model. The record is from RNAcentral. Lineage: Bacteria; Bacillati; Bacillota; Clostridia; Peptostreptococcales; Peptostreptococcaceae.